CCUACGGGUGGCUGCAGUGAGGAAUAUUGGUCAAUGGACGAGCGUCUGAACCAGCCAAGUAGCGUGAAGGAUGACUGCCCUAUGGGUUGUAAACUUCUUUUAUAUGGGAAUAAAAUGUUCCACGUGUGGGAUUUUGUAUGUACCAUAUGAAUAAGGAUCGGCUAACUCCGUGCCAGCAGCCGCGGUAAUACGGAGGAUCCGAGCGUUAUCCGGAUUUAUUGGGUUUAAAGGGAGCGUAGGUGGAUUGUUAAGUCAGUUGUGAAAGUUUGCGGCUCAACCGUAAAAUUGCAGUUGAAACUGGCAGUCUUGAGUACAGUAGAGGUGGGCGGAAUGCGUGGUGUAGCGGUGAAAUGCUUAGAUAUCACGAAGAACUCCGAUUGCGAAGGCAGUUCACUGGACUGCAACUGACACUGAGGCUCGAAAGUGUGGGUAUCAAACAGGAUUAGAUACCCUUGUAGUC
Molecule: ribosomal RNA, 460 nt
Filed under: uncultured bacterium
Lineage: Bacteria
Description: partial 16S ribosomal RNA
Rfam family: Bacterial small subunit ribosomal RNA
Source: RNAcentral